AUCGUGCACGUCCCUGAUGGUAGGAGCCCUUCUCCUGCACGAGCACAGAAUGUCUAGCCGUCCGUGAACACCCCCACCGGCACCCCCCCUUCCCGUGCAUGCGCGGUGCGGGCGAGGGGGAAGGCGCGCCGCCGGCUUGCGCAGGCACGGAACCCGACUGGGCCUCUAAAUGGCCAAACCUGAAACACCUGCACAAGGAAAAAUAUCCCACCAAAUGCCAGGAGCACCCUCCCCUUGCUGCUCUGAAAACACUGGACACAGUAAAUGAACAAGAAAUAGAUCUAAUCCCUGAUGACACGGAGAUACAAGAUUGAAUCGAGCCCUUGCUAUGGAUAUUUCUUGUUGCCCAUUUUGGUUGUGCUGGGCCAGGGAAGUCCCUUGGUGGAGCGAAUUUCUGGGGAGGAAGAGAAGAACAGGGUGUCCUCAGGAACUGCCCCCGGGACUUCUCUGUCACAUCUGAUCUCUGAAGAGAGAGAGAACCUGGGCUAGCAGCUCCCUUUCAGGAGGGAGGGUUGAAUCAAAAAAGUUCUGAACAUCUUCCAAGAUAAGGAAACUGAGGCCCAGAGAGGCAGAGCCUUGACAUAUAUUUAGCCUGAUAACCACUGAGAAAGGGAGAGACUGAGCCUACAUUCAAUUCGGAAAAUGAUUGGAUCAGAGGUUCGAUGAUACGUUUUCAGCGAGUAGCCAAUCAAGAGGAUGGUGAUAGAAAUAUCUGUGACAGUAUCAGCAAGGAGCCAGUCCCUUGCUGUUUCACAAAAGCCAUAAACCCAGUAAUGGCGAUUUCUUCUUGUAACAAAGAAGACAGUAAAAUCAAAGGGGAAAUAUUCAAAGUGGAAUGAAAGGAAUUGGCACUAGAAAAGACGAUGUGGUGACUGGAGAAAAAUAGGAAAAGAUUUUAGAAAUUCUCCAUUGUGGGGGGACUCUACAAUCACUGGCUUUGUCUCUUAUCCAGUUUCCUUCCCUGUUGUACUAACCCUGUGCUUCCUGGGUGUCUGCUCGAAACCAGCAGAAAGAGGAAGGGUUUCCACACGCUAAUAGGUAAAUCCAAGCAGCCCGUGUCUGCGUGGAGCAACCAGUGACUCAGUAAUGCUCAAAAGCAAGGUCAGAGGCAAAGCAAACCUGCCUUCCCCCAGAUGCUUGGUGACUGGGUUCUAAUAAUCCACCCUGAAAGUUAGUGCCCAAGGGCAAGUACGCAGCAGAGCAGAGCCGGCACAGAAACACCUCAGUUCGUGCAGCGGAAAAGACAGAGGGUCAGAAGUUCUAAAUCCUGGACACCACUCUACCAUCAACGAGCUCUGAUUUUGGACAAGUUCUUCACCCUCUCCCUUUAUGGAAUGAAGACGUUGAACAAGACUAAGCUCCUUAUCCUAUGACGCUCCAAAGAACCUUAAUUUAAUUACCUUUUCCCCCAAACCCUCCCUUCCCUUGCCCAUCUUUCCCCCCAGAUCUACCUAGCACAGCCCUAACCCUCAAUCAACCCAACUCUUCUAAUCUUUGUGUCGCCGCCCCCAGGCAGCUGAGAAGCACGGGAGAAAGUGUCGCAACUGAGAAGGCGGGUGCCACCCCCGAUCCGGAGCGAGCAGCCUCCCCCUUCAGGCGGCAAAGGUCCUCCCUCAGGUUAGAGAGAACAGAGGACCCCUCGGGUCCCUGCCUUCUGCCUGCUCUGCAGACUCACUGCCGCCACAAGUGAUCUCCUCUUCCCGUCUCUGUAGAGGAGGGAUCUUUCCCUGGACGAUGCUCCACUGAUUAGCAUUUCUAUGAGACAUAACUUUCUUCCAUUUUACUGAGGAUUUCUUCAGCAUAAAAUGCUUACAUAAUCUUAUUAUUUUUUAAAAACCCUCCCUUGUGUGUCCUGAGGGGCCGUUUCCUUUCUUGAGUUAAGCUCUUCGAAAGGGUGGUCUGUGACAAUCAUGCCCACUUUAUUUCAAUUCCCUCCUUCAUUCACUUUUACCCGGCUUCUGCCCCGGCCACCCCAAGUGAACACCCCUCUCCAAAUUAUCACCUGCCUCAUUGCUAAAGCCAGAGGACACGGUCUAGUCCUCAUGCCUAAUAGCACUUGCACUGAAAUGUCCUUUCCCUUGGCUUUUAUAAUCUCCCUCUCUCUCUGUCUCCACCUUAAAUGUUGAUCUACCCCCUGGUAGUGUCUCAGGCUCUUCUUCCCUGGUUGGAUAAAUUUACCAACUUUCUAGAUUUCAUUUUUCCAAAACCGAACUAGUCAUCCUGCUCUCUAAACCCUCUAUGUCCUUCUCAACUUGAGGGACCAGCAGUCACUUUAUCACCAAUAUCAGAAACCUUAACCCCAUCCUUGAAUUCACCAUUUCUUUCACCUUCAUUAUAAUUGGUCAUUGAAUCAAUAUCAGUUCCACCUCUGUAACGGCACACUCAUUAUCAGGCAGAUCUGAUCUUGUCAUCACCACCAACCACCUCUGAGACACCACACUGAAAAUUUUCAGAGGUUCCAGAGCACCGACAAGAUACAGUGCAGCUCUUCGCCAUGGACCGCAAAGCCUUCUGGUAGCCAUCGCUUACAUACUGCACUGAUCGCACCUCCAGCCACUCUGCGCUGUUGCACUCUGUAUUUUUGUCAGAACAAGUGCCUGUGGUCUCCAGAAUAUCUCAUGCUGGUACUCACCCAGGGACUUUGCACAUCCUUCUCCUUCUGCUAAAUUCCUCUGCUCCCCACGUCAGCUGACUCGAGUCUACACAUGCUUCAGACUCAGCUCCAGUGUCUUCUCCACAGAAAGUCUUUCUUGCUGGCCCAGUCUCUGUUGGUCUAGCCCACUAUCUGGAAUAUAGCAAAACUUUUCAAUGUUUCUGAAAGUUCAAUGAUCUGCUUCAAUGAUUUUCUCUUUUAUUUUACUUUUUAAAAUUUUAUUUAUUAUUAUUAUUAUUAUUUUGGGGGGCUGCAUUGGGUCUUCAUUGCUGCACAUGGGCUCUUCUCUAGUUGCAGCGAGCAUGGGCUCUAGGAGCACGGGCUUCAGUAGUUGCGGCACACGGGCUUAGUUGCUCCGUGGCAUGUGGGAUCUUCCCGGACCAGGGCUCGAACCCGUGUCCCCUGCAUCAGCAUGUGGAUUCUUAACCACUGCGCCACCAGGGAAGUCCCGUGAUUUUCUCUUUUAAGCAAGUCAAUUUACCCUAAUUUCAUACGCCUGACCUCUAAAGUACCUCAACUUUAUUUGUGCUUCACUUACUCUUCUUUGGGUCUUUAACGCAUUUUCAGUGUAUCACUUUUAAUUCUGUCUUACACAGUUCUUACAAAAUAUUUUCCAAAUAAAAAUGUUAAAGAGAAGCA
Balaenoptera acutorostrata (minke whale) is the source of this 3292-nucleotide long non-coding RNA. RefSeq lists it as uncharacterized. The transcript has 5 exons. The record is from RefSeq and is a predicted model, not a curated record. NCBI's taxonomy places the organism in Eukaryota, Metazoa, Chordata, Mammalia, Artiodactyla, Balaenopteridae.